This 107-nucleotide small nuclear RNA is filed under the name Moschus moschiferus (Siberian musk deer). Lineage: Eukaryota; Metazoa; Chordata; Mammalia; Artiodactyla; Moschidae. The record is from RNAcentral.
GUGCUCGCUUUGGCGGCACGUAUACUAAAAUUGGAACGACACAGAGAAGAUUGGCAUGGCCCCUGCGCAAGGAUGGCACGCACAUGCGUGACGCGUUCCAUAUUUUU